This is a long non-coding RNA of Myodes glareolus (Bank vole), 1040 nucleotides long. RefSeq lists it as uncharacterized. Lineage: Eukaryota; Metazoa; Chordata; Mammalia; Rodentia; Cricetidae. The record is from RefSeq and is a predicted model, not a curated record.
GUCCUUGGAAAGGUUUGCUUCUGGGCGCAGGCGCAGGACUGUACGUCUGGCAAAGUCAAAGAAACAGCGUCCUCCCUCUCCUGUGGAGCCGCGGUCCUCGGGUCUGCGAGAAGGACAGAUCUGCUCACCCGGUGAAGAACAGAUUCACACCCUUCGUCUGCCUAAAAAUUAAGAAAAAGAAAUUACAUACUGUGAACUUACCGUUUCAUCAUCUACGUAAGCCACUUCACUAAAUCAAGUGGAAUCACGAAAGAAAGAAAUGGGAAACGCCUGGAGGAUUUAAAAUCAAACUGUUUUGUUUUAAUGCCAACGUUGUCAUUCGUUGUCUAGUAAGACCUGGUAGAAAUAUCUCAUUUCUUUCACACUGUCUUGACAAUCUUGUGUGUAUGCUGUCCCCACAUAUCCAUGCACGCUUAUUUACGUGAGUUCAUAAGUAAUGAGCGCAGAAAAACUUCCCCACAACACACACAGAUGCAUCCUCAUCAGUUAUUUGUUUAAAAGAUUAGCUUUUAUUUUAUGUGUAUGUGCACCAUGUGCCUUAGGAACCUGAAAGAUAGGAACGGUGCUGGAUCUCUGGAGCUGGAGUUGUGUGAGUUGCCAUGUGGAUGCUGGGAACUGAAUUCUGGUCUGCUGCAAGAGAAAUAAAUGCUCUUAACCCCUGGGUCAUCUAUCCAGAGCAUCGUCAAUUAGCAGGUACUCGCACAAAUCUUCAGCCCAGUCCAGAGUACCAAAGUGAAGCUAGACUCUGGGACGCUCUUAAGCUGGUCCACAAACUUCUAUUGAAAUAUCUAGCCUCUGCCAGGCACUGUUGCUGCUAUUCCAGUGUCUCUUGCACCACUGAAAGACAGUAAGUAGACACAGAUUUAGACCGGGUAGCAUAUAACAAGGGCAAAAUUAAUUAUAUGGACAGCUACAUAAUACUGUGGACCGAGUUUUAGUUUCUGCUCAGUUUCUGAGAGCCGUCAGGUGUAUGACUUUGAACAAGUUACUCAACGAGGCAUCUGCACUUCUUUUGUAUUAAUAAAAAUAUUGGACUAUUA